This is a long non-coding RNA of Macrobrachium nipponense, 557 nucleotides long. RefSeq lists it as uncharacterized. The transcript has 2 exons. NCBI's taxonomy places the organism in Eukaryota, Metazoa, Arthropoda, Malacostraca, Decapoda, Palaemonidae. The record is from RefSeq and is a predicted model, not a curated record.
UCAGAGCAGCCUUGUGCACAACUAUGUACUAAGACGAAAUACCCUGUUCCCGUGUACGUUGGCAUUCAGCUUUUGGGCAUCAGAAUAGAGCGUGAAGGUGUGACGAGAGGGAUGGCACUCUCAGUGCCACUUUCCGCCCGGGCACUGGCAGUAGUGCCCCGUUCGCAGUCAAGACUGUAGUGCCCAGCGAAACAACCCGAUAGCGUUUUGUGUUUCGAGAAUUUAAAGAACAAUUUAGUUGAGAAAAUAAACAGUGUGAAGAAUCUCUUCUCUUGGCAAUAACCGACACGGAUUUAUUUGAUGGUGUUUAACUAACCGUGAAGACUGAAUGGCUACCUGUUAAAUGUGUGAUUGGAUUAAUUAGUGUCGUUUGAAGAUAAUAAUCUCCAUUGUGCUGUCGGAAAUAUAUUAGUCAAAAUAAAAGAAAGAGUCGAAAAAUGAAGAGAAUCAUUAUUUUAUUGUUAACGUUGCCUUAAAGACAAAUGUGAGAAUACUGAAAGAACUGCAGACACUACCCAAAAAUAAACAAGAAACAAAUAAAGAUUAAAAUACAAAAA